RNAcentral lists this microRNA precursor (77 nucleotides) under Capitella teleta. RNAcentral's name for it is "microRNA mir-190". The record is from RNAcentral. Lineage: Eukaryota; Metazoa; Annelida; Polychaeta; Capitellidae.
GACCAUUUUCUUUGAUAUAUAUGAUAUUUUCUUUGCGUAACGCAAAGAAAAUAUCAUAUAUAUCAAAGAAAAUGGUG